RNAcentral lists this ribosomal RNA (500 nucleotides) under uncultured bacterium. RNAcentral describes it as "partial 16S ribosomal RNA". It matches the Rfam family "Bacterial small subunit ribosomal RNA", at positions 29 to 523 of the family's 1533-position model. The record is from RNAcentral.
AUUGAACGCUGGCGGCAUGCCUUACACAUGCAAGUCGAACGGCAGCACAGGAGCAAUCCUGGUGGCGAGUGGCGAACGGGUGAGUAAAGUAUCGGAACGUGCCUAGUCGUGGGGGAUAACGUAGCGAAAGUUACGCUAAUACCGCAUACGAUCUAUGGAUGAAAGCGGGGGAUCGCAAGACCUCGCGCGAUUGGAGCGGCCGAUAUCAGAUUAGGUAGUUGGUGGGGUAAAGGCUCACCAAGCCGACGAUCUGUAGCUGGUCUGAGAGGACGACCAGCCGCACUGGGACUGGGACACGGCCCAGACGCCGUCGGGAGGGAGCAGUGGGGAAUUUUGGACAAUGGGCGAAAGCCUGAUCCAGCCAUGCCGCGUGCAGGAUGAAGGCCUUCGGGUUGUAAACUGCUUUUGUACGGAACGAAAAGGUUUGGGCUAAUAAGCUGAGCUCAUGACGGUACCGUAAGGAUAAGCACCGGCUAACUACGUGCCAGCCGCCGCCGUAA